This 460-nucleotide ribosomal RNA is filed under the name uncultured soil bacterium. RNAcentral describes it as "bacterial SSU rRNA". It matches the Rfam family "Bacterial small subunit ribosomal RNA", at positions 26 to 482 of the family's 1533-position model. The record is from RNAcentral.
AGAAUGAACGCUGGCGGCGUGCUUUACACAUGCAAGUUGAGCGAGGCCGGUAGCAAUACCGAGUCGAGCGGCGAACGGGUGAGUAACGCGUGGAUAACCUGCCCUGAGGCGGGGAAUAACCCGGGGAAACUCGGGCUAAUACCGCAUGAUACCGAGAGGUCAAAGAGGGCUCGCAAGGGCUCUUGCCACAGGAGGGGUCCGCGUUCGAUUAGCUAGUUGGUAGGGUAAUGGCCUACCAAGGCGACGAUCGAUAGCCGGCCUGAGAGGGUGAUCGGCCACACUGGAACUGAGACACGGUCCAGACUCCUACGGGAGGCAGCAGUGGGAAUUUAGCGCAAUGGGACUAACGCCUGACGCAGCAACGACGCGUGGAGGAUGAAGUCUUGGAUUGUAAACUCCUGUCAGACAAGGAAAAAGGAGUAAGGACCUAAUACGUACUUAAACUUAGAAUUGUACCUGU